AUACGGAGGAUCCGAGCGUUAUCCGGAUUUAUUGGGUUUAAAGGGUGCGCAGGCGGCCAUUUAAGUCAGCGGUUAAAUCGUGGGGCUCAACCCCAUUCUGCCGUUGAUACUGGGUGGCUUGAUUGCGGUCGAGGUUGGCGGAAUUCGUUGUGUGGCGGUGAAAUGCAUAGAUAUGACGAAGAACACCGAUUGCGUAGGCAGCUGACCAGACCGCAAAUGACGCUCAUGCACGAAAGUGCGGGGAUCGAACAGGAUUAGAUACCCUGGUAGUCCGCACAGUAAACGAUGAAUACUUGUUUUCGGCGAUAUAAUGUCGGAGGCAAAGCGAAAGCGAUAAGUAUUCCACCUGGGAAGUACGCCGGCAACGGUGAAACUCAAAGGAAUUGACGGGG
Molecule: ribosomal RNA, 392 nt
Filed under: uncultured bacterium
Lineage: Bacteria
Description: partial 16S ribosomal RNA
Rfam family: Bacterial small subunit ribosomal RNA
Source: RNAcentral